RNAcentral lists this ribosomal RNA (253 nucleotides) under uncultured bacterium. RNAcentral describes it as "partial 16S ribosomal RNA". It matches the Rfam family "Bacterial small subunit ribosomal RNA", at positions 524 to 776 of the family's 1533-position model. The record is from RNAcentral.
UACGUAGGGUGCAAGCGUUAAUCGGAAUUACUGGGCGUAAAGCGUGCGCAGGCGGUUAUGUAAGACAGGUGUGAAAUCCCCGGGCUUAACCUGGGAACUGCAUUUGUGACUGCACAGCUGGAGUGCGGCAGAGGGGGAUGGAAUUCCGCGUGUAGCAGUGAAAUGCGUAGAUAUGCGGAGGAACACCGAUGGCGAAGGCAAUCCCCUGGGCCUGCACUGACGCUCAUGCACGAAAGCGUGGGGAGCAAACAGG